AUGAGAACUAAGGGUGGUAGCCUUGGCUACUACUCUGAACACUCCACCCUUUGUUUACAUUACCUUUGUUGCUUUAGCAGGCCCGCCUUUGGGCCGCCGGCACCUGCUGGUCAGCGCCUGCUAGAGAACCUAAAACUCUUGUUAAUAAUAUUGUCUGAGUACUAUAUAAUAGUUAGAA
This 178-nucleotide unclassified non-coding RNA is filed under the name uncultured Helotiales. Lineage: Eukaryota; Fungi; Ascomycota; Leotiomycetes; Helotiales. The record is from RNAcentral.